Physeter macrocephalus (sperm whale) is the source of this 4103-nucleotide long non-coding RNA. RefSeq lists it as uncharacterized. The record is from RefSeq and is a predicted model, not a curated record. The transcript has 3 exons. NCBI's taxonomy places the organism in Eukaryota, Metazoa, Chordata, Mammalia, Artiodactyla, Physeteridae.
UGUCCCGCCUUUAUGUCGGCGCUUCGUGGAGGCGCGUAGUUGCUGGGCUGUGGACAGCAUCCAGGAGGCUCCCCGGGCCCGCGGAAACGGGAGUAGGGUAGGUACGAGAGCUUGGGAAGUCCAGCCGCUGUGCCUUGUACACCCCAUGACCGCAGCGAACGUCCCGCCUCCCCGAGCUCGUGUGUCCUCGGCUGUCGGGGAACCGCCUGGCGCCGGGGUUCCCUGCGGAUACCUCCGUCAAGGGCCGUCUGUGUCCGUGGCCGCCCCGUAGUCGUCGCCCUGUGCGUUGUGUCCGCUUUAUGGAGAAGAAGACCCAGGCUCAAAAGCCAGCCAUUCCGAGGUCUUGACUCAUUAUGUAGCUGGACUGCGGGCGUCAUAAGCGAGCCGAUCGACUAGGCACGGAUGAGGUAGUCUCCUGACCUCCACCUGGCUGGACUCCGAGCCCCAGUGCCCCAAGUUCCUGACUCAGCCUCAGGCCUGGGUGUUCAGGACAGUGGAACGUUCACAGGUCGGGGGGGUCUCCCUUUCAGAAUCCAGUGUGAUAAAACGUGGAGCGUGCAGGCGGAGGAAUGUGCAUGUGCGAAGACUCGGAGUGCGGUCACCCAACUUGAACAUCGAAAGGGGACCUGGCUGGUGGACAAGGUGUCUAGAAUCAGUUCAUGACCAGAGAGACCCAUGGAAGACCAGUCCUGGUGAGUGCAAGACAGGUGUGGAAGGGCCUGUGGCAGUGGGCUCAUCUCUUACCUGGUACCUGACCUGUGUCUUCUGUUGCCCUGGUAUCAAUGUCCUCCAUCAUUGGCCUCCCCUUCACAUAUCCUUAAAUAGUUCUUGAAAACCUGUUCUUCCAUGAGCCUGACUUGUUCCCUCUGAGGAAGGUGGGCAACAGUGUCAGGGGUCCCAGGCCUGGACUCCCCUCACUGCACAGCAUCUGUCUGUCACCAGACACUGAGGCCCUGCCAGCUCCACAUUCUGCAGAAUCCACAGAGAACUGACGCUGAAAGAGACACCUGAUCAAUGCACAGCAAAUGGAGAGGUGUUCAAGGAGAGGUGUUCCCUUUUCUACCACCAAAAAAAACUUAAGAAUGGGAAAAAAAAAUCCCAAGUGCAUUUUGAAGGCCUUCACCUUUGUCUCCAUCCUGAGAAAGCAGGAGUACGUUCACACCUUUGAAUGUUACAUGAGAAAGCCUCCAGCCAGACCUCUAUUUCCAUUGAGCACCAAAUUAUUUGCCCCAUAGAAAGCCCUUAUGAGGGCAGGAAGUGUGGCCCAAAAGUUUGAGCAAAAUUUUGCACUUCCCCCUCUACCAAAGCAUUCACACUGAUAAAGGACUCACAAGUGUGGAGAACAGGCAUCUCCAUUCAGAGCUCCACGCUUGUUAGCACCAGAAAAUUCACACCAGGCGACAGUUGUGCAAAUGCAAUAACUACAUGAAAACUUUCAGGAAAAUAUGAAACCUGUUUCAUGCAGUCCCCAUCGGAGAAAGGCAUAAUGAGAACAACUAGUGUUGGAAAGCCUCCUCUCAGAGAUAAUCCUGUUUUGCAGCAGCAAGUUACCACAUUGUGAAUGAAGUAAGUAGAAGGGCAAAAAGCUGCAGCUCCUGCCUGUUCCGCUUAGAACGCUUCACACUGGAGAAGGACCCUGUGUGUACAGCUGACCUGGGAGAUGUGUCAGCCACACUUCCUCCUUCUCAGCGCCAGAAACCUCACUCUGGAGAGCCUUCUGAGGGCAGGGAAUACAGUAAAGUCUUCAGCUCUCCACCCCCACCCCCCUUGUUUAACGUUUUAUUUAAAAUAAUCAGCCUCUUUUUUUAACCUUAUCAAUAUAAGAGAAUUAACACUCAAGAAAGAGCCUACAUGAGUAGCCUUCAGGCAGAAGCUGGACCUUGUAUAGAAGGACCGCCACCAGAGGAGACACUCCAGGACUGCCCUGCGCAUGGGGAAGCCUGAAGGGGCAGUGUUGUACUUUGUGACUUGCUGGGGGACUUUGGGAGAGCUGUCGCACCACUGGCUCUUAGGGAAGAAGCCCUUCUGUGUUUGAUGGUCACCUCACAAUUGCUCAGCAUAAAGCAGCCCCUGUUCCCUGCUUGCAGUGCCCUGGAGGGUGAUGGCCCUGCACCCACUGGCAUGACAUCAUGCUGCUCUCCCAUGACUGAGUAGGGCAUGGACUUCACUCCUGCUCUGAGCAAGGGGCCUGAUGGGAUGGUUUCUGGGGGCCUUCUGGGUAAGGUUCCCAUUAUUCAUGGACAUUGUGAAGUCUGCAUUUGAUAUCAGUGAUGCCUUCAUGGAGCUGCUUCAAGUACUCAUAACAUGAUGGUUUUGUGCAUUCCUGUCAUUCAGCCCUUGUACUGGUUGACAGUGACUACAUCACCAAUUUACCUUUGAUAUUGCAGUCCUAUUUAGUGGAUGGAGUGAAUUGAGAACAUUGAAUUGAGAGGUGCUCCCAAAUUAGCCAUUGGGGCCCCAUAACACCUGAAAAAAGGCACAGCAGCAAGGCAUGGAGCAUCUGUGUCCAGCUGUGACUCAGUUUGCAUUUCUUCCCGAUGUCCCUGUGAAAUGAAAGGAUGGAAGCCUCUGUUCUGAAGCUUCUGACCUGGAGUUCUCCUGGGGAAGACAGUGUUUGGUCUGGAAGAAGCAAGAUGAUGGUCUCUGUUCCAGGGAAUACCUCCCUCCAACAGUACACCCAGUAUAAGUAUACAAUUUAAUGAUUUUUAAUUAAUGUAAAGAGUUCUGUAGCCAUUAUCUUACCCCAUUCCCAUUGCCCCAGAAAGCUCCUUUGGGUACUUUUAUAGUCAAAAUUCCCUCCCACCCCACCUCCCAACACCUGGCAAUCACUAAAUCUACUUUAUGUCUCCAUAUAGUUGCCUUUUCUGGAUAUUUCAGGUUCAUGGAAUCAUACAGUAUGUCGCCUUUUGUGUCUGGCUUCUAUCACUCAGCAUAAUGUUUUUGAGGUUCAUUCAUGUUAUAUCAUGUAUCAGUAUUUUAUUACAUUUUAUUGCUGAAUGAUAUUCUCUUGUGCAGAUAUACCAGAUUGUGUCCGUCACCAGUUGAUGGACUUUUGAAUUUUUUUCAGUUCUUGGCAAUUAUAAAUAAUGCUUCUAGGAAUAUUUGCUUACAAAUCUUUGUGUGGACAUAUGUUUUUAUUUCUGUUGGGUAAAUGCCUAGGAAUGGAAUUGCUGAGUCAUAUGAUAAUUUUAUGUUUAACUAUUUAGAAACUCCAAAGCCAUUUUCCAAAGUGACUGUGCCAUUAACUGUACAGUACAAUGGCAUUAGAUAAAUUCACACAGUUGUGCAACUGUCACUCCUACACAUCUCCAGAAAUUUUUCAUUAUCCUAAACUGAAACUCUCUACCCAUUAAGCAGUCAUCUUACUGGUGUUUUAAUCUACAUUUUUUUUGUGAGUAAUGAUGUUGGGCAUCUUUUCAUGUACUUAUUAACCAUCUCUUUAUCUUCUGUGAUGAUAAUUGGGUUGUCUUCUUAUCAUUGAAUCAUAAAGUUCUUCACAGAUUUUAUAUUCAGAAUCCGUAUGUAUAUACACAAGUAUUUUCUCUCAGUCUGUGGCUCAUCUUUUAAUUUUUUUUUUAAUUUUAUUUUUAUUUAUUUAUUUAUUUGGUUGCACCAGGUCUUAGUUGCGGAAGGUGGGCUCCUUAGUCGCGGCUCACCAGCUCCUCAGUUACGGCACGUGGGCUCCUUAGUUGCGGCAUGCGAACUCAUAGUUGCGGCAUGCAUGUGGGAUCUAGUUCCCCAACCAGGGAUUGAACUCGAGCCCCCUGCUCCCCCUGGGAGUGUGAAGUCUUAACCACUGCGCCACCAGGGAAGUCCCUUAGUUUUUUUUUUUUUUUUUUUUUGCGUUGGGCGGGCCUCUCACUGUUGUGGCCUCUCCCAUUGCGGAGCACAGGCUCCGGACGCACAGGCUCAGCGGCCAUGGCUCACGGGCUUACUUGCUCCGCGGCAUGUGGGAUCUUCCUGGACCGGGGCACGAACCCGUGUCCCCUGCAUCGGCAGGCGGACUCUCAACCACUGCACCACUAGGGAAGCCCCUUUAGUUUUCUUAAUGGUGCCUUUUGAAGAGCAAAAUUUUACAUUUGAAGUAUAAUUUAUUAGUUUUU